GUGCUCAUUUUGGCAGCACAUAUACUAAAAUUGGAACGAUACAGAGAAGAUUAGCAUGGCCCCUGUGCAAGGAUGAUACAAAAUUUUAUACCCUUUAAAUUAUU
Small nuclear RNA from Suncus etruscus (white-toothed pygmy shrew), 104 nucleotides. The record is from RefSeq and is a predicted model, not a curated record. NCBI's taxonomy places the organism in Eukaryota, Metazoa, Chordata, Mammalia, Eulipotyphla, Soricidae.